GACGAACGCUGGCGGCGUGCCUAAUACAUGCAAGUCGUGCGGACCUUUUAAAAGCUUGCUUUUAAAAGGUUAGCGGCGGACGGGUGAGUAACACGUGGGCAACCUGCCUGUAGACUGGGAUAACGCCGGGAAACCGGGGCUAAUACCAGAUCGUUUUUUCCUCCGCAUGGAGGAAAAAGGAAAGGCGGCUUCGGCUGCCACUUACAGAUGGGCCCGCGGCGCAUUAGCUAGUUGGCGGGGUAACGGCCCACCAAGGCAACGAUGCGUAGCCGACCUGAGAGGGUGAUCGGCCACAUUGGGACUGAGACACGGCCCAAACUCCUACGGGAGGCAGCAGUAGGGAAUCUUCCGCAAUGGACGAAAGUCUGACGGAGCAACGCCGCGUGAGUGAAGAAGGCCUUCGGGUCGUAAAACUCUGUUGCCGGGGAAGAACAAGUGCCGUUCGAACAGGGCGGCGCCUUGACGGUACCCGGCCAGAAAGCCACGGCUAACUACGUG
Molecule: ribosomal RNA, 498 nt
Filed under: uncultured bacterium
Lineage: Bacteria
Description: partial 16S ribosomal RNA
Rfam family: Bacterial small subunit ribosomal RNA
Source: RNAcentral